RNAcentral lists this ribosomal RNA (359 nucleotides) under uncultured bacterium. RNAcentral's name for it is "partial 16S ribosomal RNA". It matches the Rfam family "Bacterial small subunit ribosomal RNA", at positions 338 to 694 of the family's 1533-position model. The record is from RNAcentral.
CCUACGGGUGGCAGCAGUGAGGAAUAUUGGUCAAUGGGCUUACGCCUGAACCAGCCAAGUCGCGUGAGGGAAGACUGCCCUAUGGGUUGUAAACCUCGUUAGUCAGGGAGCAACGCCGGCUACGAGUAGCCGGACGGAGAGUACCUGAAGAAAAAGCAUCGGCUAACUCCGGGCCAGCAGCCGCGGUAAUACGGAGGAUGCGAGCGUUAUCCGGAUUUAUGGGGUGUAAAGGGUGCGUAGGCGGAAUGCCAAGUCAGCGGUAAAAUCGGGGGGCUCAACCUCGCUCCGCCGUUGAAACUGGCGUUCUUGAGUUGGCGUGACGUAUGCGGAAUUCGUGGUGUAGCGGUGAACUGCAUAGA